CGAGGAAUCUUGGGCAAUGGGCGAAAGCCUGACCCAGCGACGCCGCGUGAGGGAUGAAGGCCUUCGGGUCGUAAACCUCUUUUGUGGGGGAAGAAAUUCUGACGGUACCCCACGAAUAAGCCACGGCUAACUACGUGCCAGCAGCCGCGGUAAUACGUAGGUGGCGAGCGUUGUCCGGAUUUACUGGGCGUAAAGGGCUUGUAGGCGGUCCGUUAAGUCUGAUGUGAAAUCUCCCGGCUCAACUGGGAG
This 249-nucleotide ribosomal RNA is filed under the name uncultured Chloroflexota bacterium. Its description in RNAcentral is "uncultured Chloroflexi bacterium partial 16S ribosomal RNA". It matches the Rfam family "Bacterial small subunit ribosomal RNA", at positions 355 to 619 of the family's 1533-position model. The record is from RNAcentral. Lineage: Bacteria; Bacillati; Chloroflexota.